ACAUAAUAGCAGGGAUCAGAUCAGGGCACAAUGACCCGAGACAAGUGGUAAUGGGGGAACAGAAUGAGACAUCUUCAAACCUCAAUACAGAAUACGGAAAAACCGCGAUCUUCUAAGCGACUGAAACUAAAGUCCACUAUAUUAUGAAAUGCCGAUUAAUUACUCUUCAUAUUUGUUGGCAAACUUCUGAUAGUCUUGGUUAUUAUUUGAGUUGAUACCUCGAAGAGAUACUGAUCGGGACAGUCUUUUCGGCACCCUGUCCCAUUUUUUGUUGUUCUUGAAAUGCAUAUUGGCGGAUCUCACACGCCCCCAUGUCAUGAAUCAGGCAGUCAGCUGUGUACAUGUAUGUGCUUGCAAACACACCGAGACAAUACCAACAUACCGUUUGCGAACUGAAGCGGUAUCUUAUUUGUGAAUGUAUUCAAUACGGUGAUAUAUAACUUCAUGAAGAACAACAUUAUGUCGAUAUCAAGAUAAAGACCGAAACAAUAUCCAUGAGAGCAUUGAUGGAAUGGAGUUUUUUUUUUUUAAAUGAAGGACUGGUUUAACUAAAGGAGGAGUUCACGUUUCUUCCUUCGUGUGUCGGUAGAUAAUAUUAUACUAUGGAUGAACCCAUGGAAAGCGUCGAAAGAGGAGCUGUGAUCUCAAUAAGCAUAGCAGGAGGAAUCGUCGUCUUCGUUAUCGGGGCCGUCGUCAUCUAUAUUCUCAGAGAACUCUAUUGCAAUGAGCAUUAUGCCAACAUGACGUCAUCGGUAAGAAGAUCUCGACCUCGUAAUGAUACUCGACCUCCUAAAAAGGUGGCGACCAUCGACCUCCAACCAUCUUCAUCGAAGGAUAAAAUAGUACCUGGUUCCAGGAAAAUAGCUCUACCGGAUUCUAAUAUUUAGAAUCAUUAUCGGUGACCGCUGUUUCCAAUGAUGACUGGAUAAUAAGGUCUGUUGUGUUAUAUCAAGGAUGACAUUGUAGGAGCAUGGAGCUAUAGGAGGCAGGCGCCGAUGGCCCUUAUUAUUUACAUUAUGGAACAAGUAGAGGAAAGGAGAAAGUGUGUAUAUUGUGUAACUGUGAGGCUUGCAAUACCCCUAUUUUUAUCUCAAAUGCAAUCGAAUUGUUUGGGUCAGUCUUGCUCAUACCACCCUACUUGUGCGAAUGAAGGUUUUUGAGAACACAGUGUUUGAUAAUGCUUAUUCCGGGAUGCAACUGUUCUGGUGACGAAAGCUGAUUUCGUUCAGUAUUUCUUAACUUUAUCACGAUGUUGUUUCUUUAUUUACCAUGUUUUCUUAUUUUAUUCAUCUAGGCCUAUUUACUCGGAAUUAUAGCAAUAAUGGUGAAAGUUAAAUGUAGAUUAGAAAAGAAACAACUCAAAGCUCCGAGGAUCUGUCAUUUUAAUGAUUUUAACACUAAGACGAGCAUGCGAUAAUAAUGACAUGAUAUUGCAGAUUUGCAAGAAAUAUUUUAAGAACAAUUCAAAUUUUUAAUUUUUUCAUAAAUUUUGACUAGCCAGCGAAACAAAAUAACAGGAAUUAAAUAAUAUGAGGGUAAUAAAUCUUAAAUUCAUACAGGAUGGAUAUUAGAAAGCUCAUCUCAGUCUUGCAGUCUUUUAGCGGGCCAGAAGACUGAGUGUUGUUACAUUACGAGUUGAAGCAUCUAAUCUUUCCAGUUUAUACUGGCAGUCUGAUUUUAGACCAUUCAUUAAAGAGGCUUCUUGAUCUUGUUGGUGAUAUAAAACCUGGUGGUUAAGUCGCUGCCCGGAAAGCAGUAGAUGGCAGGUUCGAAUCCCACUGGUUCCAAUUUUUUCUGACUUAUGAUUUUCAUUAAAGAUCGAGCGUGCGAUCUUAAACACAUAGGAGUAAUGCCGAAAAUUUGUUUACAAAUUAUGAUUUCCUCCUAUUACAGCCUCAUUUACGAUAUAAAACCUGUUUUGAAGAUCACCUUCUACAGUCAUAUUCGAGAAAAUAUUUUGAGGGGCAUAAUGUGACGUAUGGGGAAAAUUGAGAAGUUCAUAGUGGCAUGUUUCAUUUUUUUCUACAGACCAUAUCAUAUUUCAACUUUCCCCUUUCCUAUUCUUCUUUUAAUCACUUUUUUAAAGUUUCCACGACCGAGAAGAAAAAGGUGAUAGAAUGGAAUACCCCUCCCUCAGUCGGGAUGAAGUGAAGUACCAUUCCCACAAUCAUGACACCCAUGCUGCAUGUCAACAUUGGUGGUAAAAAAUAUUCGAAACAAGACAAGAGGGUGAAAUAUUUGAACGCUUGAUGGUGCAUGCACAAGCACGUAAACAUCAAAUUGAUCAAAUAUUUUUUUAAUAUAUAUUUGAUGGAGGUCCGGAUAAAUAUACAGUGCGUCCCAGAAAAAACGAAACCGAGAUUAAGCGAUGAUUUAUCAUAACUUAAUCACAAAUAUAAUAGACAAAUGACCUACCAAUGUAAAGCUUAGAAUCUCCUCUUUCAUCUGAUAUUACUUAGAUUAUUCCCCAUUCACGCAUGAGUGAGCAAAAACAAUUUGAAGAAAGGAUUCCAAAAACUCAUUUGGCGGGGGGUAUCUGAAUUUCAAAAAGAAAAUCACAUGCCUAAAAAGUUCAAUAUCUGCUCCUUUAUUUGAUACCUUUAUCACAAAAGAUGGUCAAGAGUUAAAAAAGUUAUGUUCCCUCGAAACAAUGCUUGUAUUUCCAUAAUUUCAUUAAAUAAACGUGUUUUCACCGGUUUCCCACAGAAGCUAUCGCAUGGUUAACAAAAAACUUAAUGCAUGGCUGAUCGUCAACAAAACGGAGUGUCAAGUGUGUUUGAACGCUAGCCUGUAGAACCUCUUCAUUUUAUGAAAUUAUUGAAAUUCAAGCCUUAUUUCAAAUAACCAGAACCUUGUUAUUUCUUAACCAUUUUCUGUAAUUGAGGUAUCAAAUUAAAGAGCAGAUAUUGAACUUUUUAAAAAUGUGGUUUUCUUUUUGAAAUCCAGAUACAGCCCGCCAAAUGACUUUUUGGUAUACCCGCUUCAAAUUGUUUUUGCUCACUCAUGCAUGAAUGAUAAAUAAUCUUAGUACUUUCAGAUGAAAGAAGAGAUUCUAAGCUUUACAAUGGUAGGUCAUUUGUCUAUUAUAUUUGUGAUUAAGUUAUGGUAAAUCAUCGAUAAAUCUCGGUUUCGUUUUUUGUGGGACGCUCUGUAUAUAGAAUAACUAGUAUAGCAUACAAGGGGAGCAAGUAUCCCACCGCUCGGCGCAGAGUAGUAGGUCCAUGAAUAUGCAUGCUCCAUUGGUUUAGACCUACCCAGUUAAUCCCGCCCCUCAAAAUUAACACUCAAACCAUCUGAUUUUUCUUAUCCUUUGAAAGUUUUAGCCCUGUAAAUAUGCGCAACUGUCUGACUGUGGUUUCAGUGGCAAAGCGGUAAAGAUUUGAGUAUAUAUACCUCUAAUCAUUUUAAGGCCAAGAAACUGUAUUUGUAUUUGUCAGUGGGCAUUUAUUUUAUUAUACUAGAGAUCAAUUCUCGGAGUAAACCUAAUUCAAAUUCGACUUUUCUAAGUAUACUCAGUCCCUAUAACUUCGCUCAUAUCGUCGUGUUAUUUACAUGUACAUGUAUAUAUAAUUGUACUGUAUGAUUUUACACGCCGUAUUGUAGUGAUAGACUUCUAAAUUUUAGAUAAUAUUUAGACUCUCCCAAGAGAUAUAUUUAAAUAUCUGACUAGUCUUUACAUUCCAGACCUAGUCGCAUAUUACUGCUACCUUUAUCAGACGUAGACGUGUAAUAGCGGAAGUUUAUUUUAUUAGGCCUACUUGUGGAUGUUUAUGUCACAAGUAUCAGUUAUAACAUUCGAGGGACAUGUCGUCUAACCCUUAAUGAUACCGUUUAAAUACUACUUAAAAUAUAAACACAUCUCGCUAACGCAACUCUCAGUUUUAAUAUAUAAGUAAUGUGUUAACUGUGAAGUAAACAAUUCAUGUUACUCCUUUUAUUGUUUUUAUUUUUGUCAGUAAUAUCGAAUUAUCUUUGUAGUCAUUGGGACAUGAAAGUGAUAAAUUUUAACUGCACAUGCAUAAAAGAAUAUGUAUAUUUAUGAAACAAAAUUUAAAUGAAAGAGUUAUGUAGAUUUAGUGUUUUCAAGUUGAUUGAAAUAUGAUAAUGAAGUUGGAUAUCCUCAAAUGUCUUUCUCAACUUUUGCAAUAUAUCAUGUCAUGUCAUUCCAUAAUCAUGUGUGUCACUCAAAAGGUUUUACAUGUUCAAGUUAUUGCUAAAAUUUUAUUGAGGAACUCUUGUUUAUAUAACCUAGUAUUCGUCUUUUGUAAAAAAAAAAAUGUGAAAAGAAGAAUGAGAGAGGGGAGGGGAGCACGUGGUAUGGUAUUAUUAAUUUAUUUUUCUCUUCUCGUAUUCAGACCAACUUCAAUACUAGUAUGUUUUUUAAUGAUAGUUUUUUUUUCAUAUCCUUGGAAUUUUGUUUUUGUCUCCAGAUUUUGUGUGUUUAUGUGUCUUUCAUAUCAUAAUUGAGUUGUCAGUUAAAUGACAUGUGUUGCAGGCUACAAAUAUUAUGACAGCAUGUAUGUCCAUAAAUAGAUUGCAUAAUCAUGAUAAUGAAAUGUAUUACUUCACCAUGUUGUAUAAACUUAAGAGGUGUUUGAAUAAGAUUUGAUUGAAAUUAGACAUGAUGCAAUUUAUGACUAUACAUGACCACAUUUGUUUCUGCGUUCACUGUCCUUAACAUAAAAUGCAGAUUUAUGAACUAUAUUUUCCUUAAUGAUUAUUUGUUUGUGAUUUAUAUUUUACUCAAGACAACGAUUUCAGACAGACAUGUGGGGAAUGGCAACUAGUGUCUUCAACUGACUGAUGGCAAACCACUUUAAACACUAUUGGCUGACCUAUCCCCAUCACUGCAGCGCCACGGCCCCGUUAGAUCAAUUUACGAUUAAAAACUCAUCUUAUUGGUUUGCAAUGGAAAAGGGGAAAAUGGAAAAUGAAAUGCGAAAUAGAUUACCCCCUUAUGGGCAUGUAGAUUUGAUGGUCAUUUUUUUAUAUAUAGGUCCAUGUUUUGAAGGUCCCGUAUCUACAUGUAUUAUGAUAUAGGCAUACUUUUACCGCCCCCCGCCCCCCCCCUCCUCCCCCUGUCUAUCUGUCUCUCUCUUUCUCUAAAGUAGCUAAAUUUAAAUAAAACACAUGAAGGCUGUUUUAAAUAUCAUUAUCCACUGAAAGUUGAAAUAAAUCAUGAAUCAUUGUGCUUUCAAUUUUUAUUCAAGUUUUUUUUCGAUAUAAUUGAAUAUAGUGUAUGCAUCCUUUAUUUCAUUAUACAUUUUUACGACUAUCGCAACAAAUAAACAUUUAUAUUUUGUCAACAUUUUA
Long non-coding RNA from Lytechinus pictus (painted urchin), 5313 nucleotides. RefSeq lists it as uncharacterized. The transcript is spliced from 2 exons. The record is from RefSeq and is a predicted model, not a curated record. Lineage: Eukaryota; Metazoa; Echinodermata; Echinoidea; Temnopleuroida; Toxopneustidae.